This 226-nucleotide long non-coding RNA is filed under the name Lathyrus oleraceus (garden pea). RNAcentral's name for it is "Pisum sativum (pea) long non-coding RNA (PSAT_LNC014953)". Lineage: Eukaryota; Viridiplantae; Streptophyta; Magnoliopsida; Fabales; Fabaceae. The record is from RNAcentral.
AAAAAUCGAAAGAGACAAUGAAAAUCUCCAACAAGACAAAACAAGAUUCAGUGACCACCAUACCAAGAUCAAAGGGUCAACGACAUCAAAAAAAAACGAAAUAAGGUGGCUGCCAUUCCAAGAGACCUUGAAACACCAUCUUUAUCCUUACACCUGCAAAAGACAAAUGUGUGUGAAUUAACUGAACGUAGGAUUGGAGAUAAUCAUGAAGAAGGGGUGGGCUAAA